Molecule: ribosomal RNA, 497 nt
Filed under: uncultured bacterium
Lineage: Bacteria
Description: partial 16S ribosomal RNA
Rfam family: Bacterial small subunit ribosomal RNA
Source: RNAcentral
GAUGAACGCUGGCGGCGUGCCUAAUACAUGCAAGUCGAGCGAACAGACGAGGAGCUUGCUCCUCUGACGUUAGCGGCGGACGGGUGAGUAACACGUGGAUAACCUACCUAUAAGACUGGGAUCACUUCGGGAAACCGGAGCUAAUACCGGAUAAUAUAUUGAACCGCAUGGUUCAAUAGUGAAAGACGGUUUUGCUGUCACUUAUAGAUGGAUCCGCGCCGCAUUAGCUAGUUGGUAAGGUAACGGCUUACCAAGGCUACGAUGCGUAGCCGACCUGAGAGGGUGAUCGGCCACACUGGAACUGAGACACGGUCCAGACUCCUACGGGAGGCAGCAGUAGGGAAUCUUCCGCAAUGGGCGAAAGCUUGACGGAGCAACGCCGCGUGAGUGAUGAAGGUCUUCGGAGCGUAAAACUCUGUUAUUAGGGAAGAACAAAUGUGUAAGUAACUAUGCACGUCUUGACGGUACCUAAUCAGAAAGCCACGGCUAACUACGUG